UUUCCGGUUGAUCCUGCCGGACCUGACUGCUAUCGGAUUGAUACUAAGCCAUGCGAGUCUUUGUAGUAAUACAAGGCAGACGGCUCAGUAACACGUAGUCAACCUACCCUAUGGACGAGAAUAAUCUCGGGAAACUGAGCAUAAUUCUCGAUAGAUCAUAAUGCCUGGAAUGGUUUAUGGUUAAAAUGAUUCGUCGCCAUAGGUUGGGACUGCGGCCUAUCAGCUUGUUGGUGAGGUAAUGGCCCACCAAGGCGAUUACAGGUACGGGCUCUGAGAGGAGAAGCCCGGAGAUGGGUACUGAGACACGGACCCAGGCCCUAUGGGGCGCAGCAGGCGAGAAAACUUUGCAAUGUGCGAAAGCACGACAAGGUUAAUCCGAGUGAUUUCUGCUAAAGAAAUCUUUUGUCAGUCAUAAAACCACUGACGAAUAAGGGGUGGGCAAGUUCUGGUGUCAGCCGCCGCGGUAAAACCAGCACCUCAAGUGGUCAGGAUGAUUAUUGGGCCUAAAGCAUCCGUAGCCGGCUUUGUUAGUUUUCGGUUAAAUCCAUGUGCUCAACACAUGGGCUGCCGAAAAUACUGCAUGGCUAGGGAGUGGGAGAGGUAGACGGUACUCAGUAGGAAGGGGUAAAAUCCUUUGAUCUAUUGAUGACCACCUGUGGCGAAGGCGGUCUACCAGAACACGUUCGACGGUGAGGGAUGAAAGCUGGGGGAGCAAACCGGAUUAGAUACCCGGGUAGUCCCAGCUGUAAACGAUGCAGACUCGAUGAUGCAUUGGCAUAAUAGCCAGUGCAGUGUCGCAGGGAAGCCGUUAAGUCUGCCGCCUGGGAAGUACGUACGCAAGUAUGAAACUUAAAGGAAUUGGCGGGGGAGCACCACAAGGGGUGAAGCCUGCGGUUCAAUUGGAGUCAACGCCGGG
This 916-nucleotide ribosomal RNA is filed under the name uncultured archaeon. RNAcentral's name for it is "SSU rRNA". It matches the Rfam family "Archaeal small subunit ribosomal RNA", at positions 1 to 922 of the family's 1478-position model. The record is from RNAcentral.